RNAcentral lists this ribosomal RNA (918 nucleotides) under uncultured bacterium. Its description in RNAcentral is "bacterial SSU rRNA". It matches the Rfam family "Bacterial small subunit ribosomal RNA", at positions 8 to 916 of the family's 1533-position model. The record is from RNAcentral.
AGAGUUUGAUUCUGGCUCAGAUUGAACGCUGGCGGAAUGCUUUACACAUGCAAGUCGAACGGCAGCACGGGAGCUUGCUCCUGGUGGCGAGUGGCGAACGGGUGAGUAAUGCGUCGGAACGUACCGAGUAAUGGGGGAUAACGCAGCGAAAGCUGUGCUAAUACCGCAUACGCCCUGAGGGGGAAAGUGGGGGAUCGCAAGACCUCACGUUAUUCGAGCGGCCGACGUCUGAUUAGCUAGUUGGUGGGGUAAUGGCCUACCAAGGCGACGAUCAGUAGCGGGUCUGAGAGGAUGAUCCGCCACACUGGGACUGAGACACGGCCCAGACUCCUACGGGAGGCAGCAGUGGGGAAUUUUGGACAAUGGGGGCAACCCUGAUCCAGCCAUUCCGCGUGAGUGAAGAAGGCCUUCGGAUUGUAAAGCACUUUAAGUUGGGAGGAAGGGCAGUAAAUUAAUACUUUGCUGUUUUGACGUUACCGACAGAAUAAGCACCGGCUAACUCUGUGCCAGCAGCCGCGGUAAUACAGAGGGUGCAAGCGUUAAUCGGAAUUACUGGGCGUAAAGCGCGCGUAGGUGGUUAGUUAAGUUGGAUGUGAAAUCCCCGGGCUCAACCUGGGAACUGCAUUCAAAACUGACUGACUAGAGUAUGGUAGAGGGUGGGUGGAAUUUCCUGUGUAGCGGUGAAAUGCGUAGAUAUAGGAAGGAACACCAAUGGCGAAGGCAGCCCCCUGGGAUGACACUGACGCUCAUGUACGAAAGCGUGGGUAGCAAACAGGAUUAGAUACCCUGGUAGUCCACGCCCUAAACGAUGUCAACUGGUUGUUGGGGGAGUGAAAUCCCUUAGUAACGAAGCUAACGCGUGAAGUUGACCGCCUGGGGGAGUACGGUCGCAAGAUUAGAACUCAAAUGAAUUGACGG